CUCGUGUUUAUUUUUUUGGCGCCAAAGUUGGCACGUCAUUUUCCCGCCAAAAUGUAACAAAAUCGAAAAACAAAAUCGAUACGAUUUUUAGGAAUGGCAAGUUCUAUCCUGUGAGGAAGUUUCGUGAUAUUCCAAACUAACGACAGAAAGUUAUUUGUACGUGGCCGAAUUUGCUGUCUUUUGUGCCCACAGGCAGCUUGUUCUGACAACAUAUAUAUGGCAUAGUGCCACUCUCUGCGACACAAAAUCAGGCAAUCAUAGCACAAUAUAAACUGACUUGUGCUCCAGAUUGCUUUGUGUAGGAGGAAAUCCAUCUAGGAGAAAGAAAGC
This is a non-coding RNA of Paramuricea clavata, 330 nucleotides long. The record is from the annotation of a GenBank genome assembly. Lineage: Eukaryota; Metazoa; Cnidaria; Anthozoa; Malacalcyonacea; Plexauridae.